Molecule: ribosomal RNA, 493 nt
Filed under: uncultured bacterium
Lineage: Bacteria
Description: bacterial SSU rRNA
Rfam family: Bacterial small subunit ribosomal RNA
Source: RNAcentral
GAUGAACGCUAGCUACAGGCUUAACACAUGCAAGUCGAGGGGAAACGACAUCGGAAGCUUGCUUUUGAUGGGCGUCGACCGGCGCACGGGUGAGUAACGCGUAUCCAACCUGCCCACCACUUGGGGAUAACCUUGCGAAAGUAAGACUAAUACCCGAUGAUAUCCCUAGAAGACAUCUGAAAGGGAUUAAAGAUUUAUCGGUGAUGGAUGGGGAUGCGUCUGAUUAGCUUGUUGGCGGGGUAACGGCCCACCAAGGCGACGAUCAGUAGGGGUUCUGAGAGGAAGGUCCCCCCACAUUGGAACUGAGACACGGUCCAAACUCCUACGGGAGGCAGCAGUGAGGAAUAUUGGUCAAUGGACGGGAGUCUGAACCAGCCAAGUAGCGUGCAGGACGACGGCCCUAUGGGUUGUAAACUGCUUUUAUAGGGGGAUAAAGUGUGCCACGUGUGGCAUAUUGCAGGUACCCUAUGAAUAAGGACCGGCUAAUUCCGUG